UACGUAGGGUGCGAGCGUUAAUCGGAUUUACUGGGCGUAAAGCGUGCGCAGGCGGCCCGUUAAGACAGGUGUGAAAUCCCUGGGCUCAACCUAGGAAUUGCGCUUGUGACUGGCGGGCUCGAGUACGGUAGAGGGGGGUGGAAUUCCGGGUGUAGCAGUGAAAUGCGUAGAGAUCAGGAGGAACACCGAUGGCGAAGGCAGCCCCCUGGGCCUGUACUGACGCUCAUGCACGAAAGCGUGGGGAGCAAACAGG
This 253-nucleotide ribosomal RNA is filed under the name uncultured microorganism. Its description in RNAcentral is "partial 16S ribosomal RNA". It matches the Rfam family "Bacterial small subunit ribosomal RNA", at positions 524 to 776 of the family's 1533-position model. The record is from RNAcentral.